AUACGGAGGGUGCAAGCGUUACUCGGAAUCACUGGGCGUAAAGCGCGCGCAGGCGGCUAUUUAAGUUGGAUGUGAAAGCCUACGGCUCAACCGUAGAACUGCAUCCAAAACUAUUUAGCUAGAGUGUGGGAGAGGAAGAUGGAAUUAGUUGUGUAGGGGUAAAAUCCGUAGAGAUAGCUAGGAAUACCAAAAGCGAAGGCAAUCUUCUGGAACACUACUGACGCUGAGGCGCGAAAGCGUGGGGAGCAAACGGGAUUAGAAACACUAGUAGUCC
RNAcentral lists this ribosomal RNA (274 nucleotides) under uncultured bacterium. Its description in RNAcentral is "partial 16S ribosomal RNA". It matches the Rfam family "Bacterial small subunit ribosomal RNA", at positions 523 to 796 of the family's 1533-position model. The record is from RNAcentral.